Small nuclear RNA from Myotis lucifugus (little brown bat), 106 nucleotides. Lineage: Eukaryota; Metazoa; Chordata; Mammalia; Chiroptera; Vespertilionidae. The record is from Ensembl.
GUGCUUGCUUUGGCAGCAUAUAUACUAAACUUAAAACAAUAUUGGAUGAUUAGCAUGACCCCUGCACAAGGAUGACAUGCAAAUUCAUGAAGCAUUCCAUAGAAAA